Molecule: unclassified non-coding RNA, 145 nt
Filed under: uncultured Helotiales
Lineage: Eukaryota; Fungi; Ascomycota; Leotiomycetes; Helotiales
Also listed under: 1 other name
Description: sequence contains ITS2
Source: RNAcentral
CAACCCUCAAGCACUGCUUGGUAUUGGGCUCUGCUGGUUUCAGCAGGCCUUAAAAUCAGUGGCAGCGCCGCCUGAGCUCUGAGCGUAGUAAAUACCCUCGCUAUAGAGACCGGGCAGCUCUCGCUAUCAACCCCCAACUUUCUAA